Molecule: ribosomal RNA, 251 nt
Filed under: uncultured bacterium
Lineage: Bacteria
Description: partial 16S ribosomal RNA
Rfam family: Bacterial small subunit ribosomal RNA
Source: RNAcentral
ACGGAAAUUUUUAAAAUUUUAGUAGCGGACGGGUGAGUAACGCGUGAGGAUUUGCCUUUAGGAGGGGAGAACUAGUUAGAAAUAAUUGCUAAUGCCCCAUAUGCUUUGUAGUGAAAUGGAGUUUAUUCGCCUGAAGAGAAACUCGCGUCUGAUUAGCUAGUUGGUAAGAUAAGAGCUUACCAAGGCGACGAUCAGUAGUUGGUUUGAGAGAACGAUCAGCCACACUGGAACUGAGAUACGGUCCAGACUCC